UACGAAGGGUGCGAGCGUUGUUCGGAAUUAUUGGGCGUAAAGCGCACGUAGGCGGCCUUGUAAGUCUCACUGUGAAAGUCCGGGGCUCAACCCCGGGAUGCCAGGGGAUACUGCGAGGCUGGAGACAAGCAGAGGUUGGUAGAAUUCCGGGUGUAGCGGUGGAAUGCGUAGAGAUCCGGAGGAAUACCAGAGGCGAAGGCGGCCAACUGGGCUUGAUCUGACGCUGAGGUGCGAAAGCGUGGGGAGCGAACAGGAUUAGAAACCCCCGUAGUCC
This 274-nucleotide ribosomal RNA is filed under the name uncultured bacterium. RNAcentral describes it as "partial 16S ribosomal RNA". It matches the Rfam family "Bacterial small subunit ribosomal RNA", at positions 524 to 796 of the family's 1533-position model. The record is from RNAcentral.